Molecule: ribosomal RNA, 788 nt
Filed under: uncultured bacterium
Lineage: Bacteria
Description: bacterial SSU rRNA
Rfam family: Bacterial small subunit ribosomal RNA
Source: RNAcentral
AGAGUUUGAUCAUGGCUCAGGAUGAACGCUAGCGGGAGGCUAAUACAUGCAAGUCGAGCGGUAGAGUGACUUCGGUUGCUUGAGAGCGGCGCACGGGUGAGUAACGCGUACGCAACUUACCUCCAAACGGGGCAUAGCCCCGGGAAACUGGGAUUAAUACCCCAUAGUUUACAAGAUCCGCAUGGAUUUUGUAAUAAAGCUGAGGCGUUUGGAGAUAGGCGUGCGUCUGAUUAGGUAGUUGGUAGGGUAACGGCCUACCAAGCCUACGAUCAGUAGGGGGCGUGAGAGCGUGGCCCCCCACACGGGUACUGAGACACGGACCCGACUCCUACGGGAGGCAGCAGUAAGGAAUAUUGGACAAUGGACGAAAGUCUGAUCCAGCCAUCCCGCGUGCAGGAUGAAUGCCCUAUGGGUUGUAAACUGCUUUUGGAAGGGAAGAAACGCCUCGAUUUAUCGGGGCCUGACGGUACCUUCAGAAUAAGCACCGGCUAACUCCGUGCCAGCAGCCGCGGUAAUACGGAGGGUGCAAGCGUUAUCCGGAAUCACUGGGUUUAAAGGGUGCGUAGGCGGCGCAGUAAGUCAGGGGUGAAAGCCUACGGCUCAACCGUAGAAUUGCCUUUGAUACUGUUGCGCUUGAAUCAGGUUGAGGUUGGCGGAAUGUGGCAUGUAGCGGUGAAAUGCAUAGAUAUGCCAUAGAACACCAAUUGCGAAGGCAGCUGACUGGACCUGUAUUGACGCUGAGGCACGAAAGCGUGGGGAGCAAACAGGAUUAGAUACCCUAGUAGUCC